Molecule: ribosomal RNA, 460 nt
Filed under: uncultured bacterium
Lineage: Bacteria
Description: partial 16S ribosomal RNA
Rfam family: Bacterial small subunit ribosomal RNA
Source: RNAcentral
CCUACGGGAGGCUGCAGUGAGGAAUAUUGGUCAAUGGGCGCGAGUCUGAACCAGCCAUGCAGCGUGAAGGAUGACUGCUCUAUGAGUUGUAAACUUCUUUUAUAAAAGAAUAAAGUGAGGUACGUGUGUCUUUCUGCCAGUACUUUACGAAUAAGGAUCGGCUAACUCCGUGCCAGCAGCCGCGGUAAUACGGAGGAUUCGAGCGUUAUCCGGAUUUAUUGGGUUUAAAGGGUGCGUAGGUGGGCUGUUAAGUUAGUGGUGAAAGUUUGAGGCUCAACCGUGAAAUUGCAUUUGAUACUGUCAGGCUAGAGAGCAGUUGCGGUAGGCGGAAUGUAUGGUGUAGCGGUGAAAUGCUUAGAGAUCACACAGAACACCGAUUGCGAAGGCAGCUUACCAAGCUACAACUGACGUUGAUGCACGAAAGUGUGGGGAGCAAACAGGAUUAGAUACCCGUGUAGUC